AAAACUAUACUUUUGGGGAUCAUUUCUAUAGGUUAUAACUAGAGAAGUGUGGGUGAAAAUGUUUGAUCUCGCUAACCAUGAGGAAGAGUUAAAAUAUUUUCUUCUUAACAUGAAGUGAGUGGACAGUGUUGCUUUAGUGCAGCUGCUGUUUGCUGUUGAUUGUUCUUGCUUUCCUUUUGGAAAACUGAGCGGAAGAGAACAUAGACUGAGUGGU
Mauremys mutica (yellowpond turtle) is the source of this 214-nucleotide small nucleolar RNA. RefSeq annotates it as small nucleolar RNA U3. NCBI's taxonomy places the organism in Eukaryota, Metazoa, Chordata, Testudines, Geoemydidae. The transcript has a single exon. The record is from RefSeq and is a predicted model, not a curated record.